GAAUCGAUGCAGAUUAACUGAGUUUUCACCUGGAUCUUUAGUGUGUUGCUGUUGCUUGCUCAAUACUGCUACAUGCUUUUAUCUAUUUCUGCAAUCAUGCUACUUUAGGGAACACAAAACAUUAGCCUGAGUGCUUUACUGGUUUAUAUGGAUGUUUGAAAUGUACUGUUAUUUAUCCAUUUGCUUUCAACAUUCUACUUGGUUAAAUGGCUAUUUGGUGGCUGCCGUAAGUGGUUAAUCAAUUCGGUGGCCCGCAU
This 257-nucleotide unclassified non-coding RNA is filed under the name Hevea brasiliensis (rubber tree). The record is from RNAcentral. Lineage: Eukaryota; Viridiplantae; Streptophyta; Magnoliopsida; Malpighiales; Euphorbiaceae.